Molecule: microRNA, 20 nt
Filed under: Drosophila melanogaster (fruit fly)
Lineage: Eukaryota; Metazoa; Arthropoda; Insecta; Diptera; Drosophilidae
Description: dme-miR-1016-5p
Source: miRBase by way of RNAcentral
UAAGUAUAGAGAGGAUGUGA